RNAcentral lists this long non-coding RNA (453 nucleotides) under Gallus gallus (chicken). Its description in RNAcentral is "long non-coding RNA NONGGAT002916". The record is from RNAcentral. Lineage: Eukaryota; Metazoa; Chordata; Aves; Galliformes; Phasianidae.
GGUAUGAAAGCAGUGCUACAGUAAUUUCAGCUGAGUCCUGGGAGUAAAGGCAUCUUAUGUGCUCCACAUUACUGUAACUGUUUCUUCAGGUGAAGAAAGGGUUCAAUGAGGGCUGCCCAGGAACCCCCAGAGCAGAGAGCAGUGCAGAUGUGCUGCCACUGUAUGGCCAGGCCUCCUGCCCUGGAAACUCUUUAACUGCAGUUUUGUUCCUGUAACAGCCCUGAGGAGCAGCCACACAUGCAUUAAAGCUGAAAUUAUCUCAGGUAGCAGCAGAGUGGAAUAGGAUCUCCGUAUAUUGCUCAGUGAAAAGCCAGCUCUUUGCUCUGGGAGCUCUGUGGAGGAUUAUGUGUGAAACUGUGCUGUUUACCCCAAAUACUUCUGAGAACAGUGCUGUCAGACAGGUUACCUGUACCUGCCUGAACCUGUGGAAGCAAGGAAGGUAUUGGAAAAGCU